CCCUUAGAUGUUCUGGGCCGCACGCGCGCUACACUGAAUGGAUCAACGUGUUUUCCCUUCCCGAGAGGGACGGGUAACCCGCUGAACCCCAUUCGUGGUAGGGAUCGGAGCUUGCAAUUGUUCUCCGUGAACCAGGAAUUCCCAGUAAGCGCAAGUCAUAAGCCUGCGUUGAUUACGUCCCUGCCCUUUGUACACACCGCCCGUCGCUCCUACCGAUUGAAUGGUCCGGUGAAGCGUUCGGACCGUGGCCUUUGGACGGUUCGCCGUCUGUUGGCUGCGGGAAGUUCGUUAAACCUUAUCAUUUAGAGGAAGGAGAAGUCGUAACA
RNAcentral lists this ribosomal RNA (326 nucleotides) under uncultured eukaryote. RNAcentral describes it as "partial 18S ribosomal RNA". It matches the Rfam family "Eukaryotic small subunit ribosomal RNA", at positions 1470 to 1796 of the family's 1831-position model. The record is from RNAcentral.